UAGGGAAUCCUCCACAAUGGACGCAAGUCUGAUGGAGCAACGCCGCGUGAGUGAAGAAGGGUUUCGGCUCGUAAAGCUCUGUUGUUAAAGAAGAACGUGGGUAAGAGUAACUGUUUACCCAGUGACGGUAUUUAACCAGAAAGCCACGGCUAACUACGUGCCAA
RNAcentral lists this ribosomal RNA (164 nucleotides) under uncultured bacterium. RNAcentral describes it as "partial 16S ribosomal RNA". It matches the Rfam family "Bacterial small subunit ribosomal RNA", at positions 355 to 511 of the family's 1533-position model. The record is from RNAcentral.